AGUGGCGGACGGGUGAGUAACGCGUGGGCAACCUGCCCUGUACCAGGGGAUAACAGCCGGAAACGGCUGCUAAUACCGCAUAAGCGCACGAGAGCGCAUGCUUUUGUGUGAAAAACUCCGGUGGUACGGGAUGGGCCCGCGUCUGAUUAGCUUGUUGGCGGGGUAGAAGCCCACCAAGGCGACGAUCAGUAGCCGACCUGAGAGGGUGACCGGCCACAUUGGGACUGAGACACGGCCCAAACUCCUACGGAAGGCAGCAG
RNAcentral lists this ribosomal RNA (260 nucleotides) under uncultured bacterium. RNAcentral's name for it is "partial 16S ribosomal RNA". It matches the Rfam family "Bacterial small subunit ribosomal RNA", at positions 94 to 354 of the family's 1533-position model. The record is from RNAcentral.